UUUUUUUUUUUUUUUUUUUUUUUUCCCCUGUCUAUAAUUCUAGAUGGUGAUUCCCUGAUUGUGCUGAAAUCUAAAAGAUCAGCCUGAGUACUUUGAGUUUAGGAAAGAAAAAAAAAAAAAAAAAAAAAAAAAAAAAAAAGAAAACCAGCAUGCUUCUCACCACAGCUGUAGUCAAGGGGAGGAAGCAGCAUCCCAUCUCAAAGAUAAUGCCAGAGUUCAUGUGAUCCCAAACAAGUCUUCAAAGGAAAAAUGCUUAGGCAAGAAUGGCUUGCAGAAGUACAGAUUCCAUUUUGGGAACGGCAGGGACCUGCUUGGGAGCAAGACCUGCUAGGAAUAGAAAAGGAAAACUAACAGCAUUUAGAUCAUUGCACUUCAGUGAGCAAAAGACCUCUGCAGGGCCUUUACAUGUCAAUAGCAGGGUAUGUGCAUGGGGAGAAAACGUCCAUUUUGGGAGACAGCUGGUCAGUAUACAAAGCUCAUAUUCAUUACCUUUCCAUUGCUGUUUCUCAGUCCUUACAGGCCCUGGACAUAAGGGAUGUAUCUGGAACAAUAUUUCCAUAUUGUUAUUGAUAGUAACAUACAGAAAAGUGUAGUAUCUAUAGCCAGAUUGCAAAGGUCUAAGCUCAGCAAUCUCAUUUGCUGUCUGUGUCAUCUCGGGAAAUCCACUUAAUUCCUCAGCCUAAAUUGCCACAUCUGAUUGACGUUAGGGUUGAAUGGAUUGCAUAGAAAAGUGUUUGGAAUAUGAGGACUAUAUACAUAUUAGCUGCUAUUAAUAUUAUUAAUUGGUGUUAUUUGGUCAAGACGGACUUCUCUCAGCAUACUCCUGUGUAGUAAGAAAAUGGGCAAAGUAGAAGAGAACUAAUUCCUCUUGAGUGAAGCAACAUUCUAAGAGCUUUCCUUACAACAUAUUGAAGCUACAUGGCCAUCAAGAAAGAUUGAUACUAUCAAUGGCCAUUUGGCAGAUAAAAAAAAAACUGAGGCUUAGGAAGGGAAAGCAACUGAUAAAGGUUACACAGCAACAAAGUGAUGGCUCAGAAUUUAAAUACUUCUCUGUCAUUUUUGAAGGCUUCUGUUCAUUUCACACAGUAAGAAGAAUUUUCAUAAAGCAUGCGUUUUAACUCUUUCUUGACCUUGAAAAGCAGGUGAUUAACUUCAUUUGAAGAAAUUGACCCCAAACAUAUUUCCUUUCUGUCUUUCAGUGUUAGGAGUAUAUAUUUCUUGGUGCUGGUUCUAAAGAAACAGGUUGGUUAAAUAACUAUUCAGAAACCAUUGGCAGGAGUAGAAGGCAGGUAGGGAGAUUCAGAAUUUCAAUAGCCAUGGUUGCCUCCUUCUUAGCUCUAGGGAUUUUAAAGGUAUAAAAAUGAGGUAGACCAUACCACAGUAGAGUCCACAAGCUGUCUUUGUUUCUGACAGCUUUAUUUCACAAAAAACAUUUGGAACUUCCUGUUUUCACAUGGACCCAAGCUUUGCUUUAUACACAUACCACAUAGAUAUUCAAGAUAUUGUUAAAUGAAAAGAUUAUAUGAAACACUGAAAUUGGUACUAGAGAGAGCUCUAAGAUAGGGAUAUAAUCUCUAGAAAGACAUAUUUUGUCUCCUAUUAAUGGGAUCACAUCAAAUGCCUAAGGCAGAAAGCAAUGUGAAGAGUUGUUUAAAUUUUCUUUCCUUUUAUGAAGACAAUUCCAGAGCUUUGUUUUAAAUAGGUAAUUACAUAUUCUAAGUCAGAAUCACUUACAUCUUUGUUCUUCAUUUCAUAGCUUACAAAUGAAAUAAAUUUAGGACAGAAGAUGAGACUCUAAUCAAGCUCUUAAGAGCUUCCCCUCCUACUACCAGUACUACUUCUGGUAUUGUUUCUACUACUGCUACUGAUGCUACCACUACUGAUGUUAACAUUAUAGUGUUCCUCAACAUUAUAGAGUUGUUAACACAUGCUGACAUUCUGUCGGGCACUUUACUUAGCUGAUUUAUUUCGUUGAACCCAAAAAAGUUCUAUAGGUGAAGAAGUUGAAGUGAAUUGAUUGUUAGAAAAAUCAAGAUUAUUCUCCUAGUAAAAUAGUUUAUCUCUUGGCUCUCUGGGAGUUGAAUUUUGACUCUGCCAAGUUAUCUAAAAAUUACUUUGGGUCAUUUGACCCCAUUCUGGGCCUCAAUCCCCUCUUCUAUUAAAUGCAAAUAAUAGGGUCUGCUACAUUGGAAAUGCUGUUAGGAUAAUGAAGGAGUUAUUAAAGAGAAAACACUUUGAACCAAGAACAAAUGCUACCUAUUAUUACUUAAUAUGAUCUGCCUUAGGUCACAAAGCUUUGUGUGACAUAAUUAAGCAAAAGCAAUUAAACCACAAAAGUUGAACAGAUGAAGCCUGAUUAUAGUAUGCUAGCUCUGAAAAUAUUACAGCCAGUGUAUCUAAAAUAAAUACUUAAUCAGAGCAGAAAUCUUAUUGCUUCUUGAAUGGGAGUGAGAAACUCAGCCAGUCCCAGAGACCUGUAGUAGUUGGAGUGAAGUUUCUGGAAGGGCACCUCCUCAUUGGAGGGAGCCUGAAUACUUGCUUGGCAGAGGCGCUACAUGAUGCCAAAGCCGUCACUAAUGAAGGUGUCUCCAACACUACCCACAUGUUUGCAUUUAAUAAGUGCAAGAGGAUUUUACUUGUUUGCGUAUCUGAUCAAAGCAGAAAACCUUACCAUAUAAAUAAUAUUUAACUUUAUUGAAAUUAAGAAUUAUAUAGAAGAGUACAUAAUUUGUUAAGAGUUCCUUCUUUAGGAGGAAUUUCUCUUAGUAACAAUUGCAUCCAUGAACAUAAGUAUUUUUAUUUGUGCUUAUGGAUGUGCCUAGUGUGUACAUCUACCUGCUAUGUGCAUAUGUGUACAUUUAUCUAUGUGUAUGUGUAUGUUUGCAGGUAUGCCUUACACAUUUGCUAAUUAAUAGUCCUUUACAUAAAUGCAUUAGAUUUUUGGUAACGGACUUUUUCAUAACUACAUGUUCACGAUGCACAUUUGUAAUUUCAAACAUGAUUUAUGUUAAAUAUAUUUUCUUAACCAUUUUUACAUUUACAAGAAUAAUUACAAUUUGGUUUAUUUAUGAGGGAAUUGAGGUUUAGGGAUUUUAAGUAAUUUACUGCAGGUCACACCCCUGUAGGUCCAUGUGGAACUAAAUCCUAUAACUUUUGAUUUGUGCUAUAUCUAGCUUACUUUUUUCAUACCUUGUUAUUACAUUUUAAGUUAAAUAAACAUCUCUCUCUCACUUUCCUUCUCUUAAUUAGUGAAGUAAUUAGGUUUUCCUAUAGGAUAAUAGACAUUAUUAUCACACUCUUGCUAUAUAUAUAUAUAUAUAUAUAUAUAAAUAUGCAUAUAAAACUAUACACAAUUUAUCAUACUUUGUUUUCAAGCAAAGCUGAAAUAACUUAGAUUUAGAUAAAUUCAGUAGCAUUUAUCAAGCAUCUAUAAUAUACCAUGUAGUCAGGAUAUACUCUUGAGGAUAAGAAUCUCACUAUCUUAUACUUAAGAUAAUUGUAAUAGUAAAGCUAUAUUCGAUAUGAUAGAUCAGGGAAUGGCUCUUUUAUGACUUUUGCCAUGAUGAUUUUAGGGGACUGUAUUCAUCUGAUAUGUUUUCUCACAGAAGAAUGGCAUCCCCCUCCCUUUUAAUAUAAACUCCAUGGAUAAGAUAAUUUAGAUUAGACAUCAUAAAACCCAUGAUUUUGCCCCUAAUAUUACAUACUAUGUAUAACUCCAAAGGUGCUUAUUAUAUGGUUCUGAAUGAGUAUAAGUUAUCUAACAUUUUAAAAUGCCAAACUCUGCAUUCUAACAUAUUAACAUUGAGCUAAUAGAUUCAUUUUAGAGUGUGUAAGUUCUUUAUUCUACAGAAAAGUCAACUCAUAACAAGUUAUGUGAAAUUAAUUUACCAAAAUCACAAAUUGAAAGAGACAUCAAAGUAUAGUAAUAUAUGAAAAUGCCAUCCCACUGUCAAUGAAGAGCUAAUAAUGAAAUUAUAAACAGUAUAAAAUGUAAU
Molecule: long non-coding RNA, 3995 nt
Filed under: Canis lupus familiaris (dog)
Lineage: Eukaryota; Metazoa; Chordata; Mammalia; Carnivora; Canidae
Description: lncRNA (ENSCAFG00000058815.1)
Source: RNAcentral